Oncorhynchus gorbuscha (pink salmon) is the source of this 4056-nucleotide RNA transcript. It is a transcript of the gene named adenosine receptor A1, with no coding region annotated. The transcript is spliced from 2 exons. The record is from RefSeq and is a predicted model, not a curated record. NCBI's taxonomy places the organism in Eukaryota, Metazoa, Chordata, Actinopteri, Salmoniformes, Salmonidae.
GUUUGCAUCCCAAUAUUACACUUUAUAUAUAUAUCCCAGAAGACUGAAGCAAAACUGUUUGACAUAGAAACACUGGAUUUUGGGCUGUUUAAAAAACAAUAAUGGUAAUUAAAUAAGAAAUUAUGAAAAAUAUGAAAAACAUUCCACCCAUGAGGCCACUAGGUCAUUUGACUGCAGGAAAGGGCUACGAAUGUCUGGCGCUGCCAGAUGCAGCUCGGCAACUGGAGCUGUACGGUCAAUCGUGGCCCGGUCCAGUCCAACAAAGACGGGAGGCACAUUAAAUGUGGUUAAAUAAACAUUCAGGAAUAACAGACAAUCCACUAACACAAGUUUUAAUGAAUGUGUAUUUGUUAUCAAUGAUGUUGUGCUAUUCAUUCAAAUCUCACUUAUUUGCCACUUGAAUCUAAUUGGGCAUCUUUGAGUGUGGCUUCCUUCCAAUCUGUUUGUGCACUCUAUGUGAGUGUUUCGGAGCAGAUCUCUUCUGUUUCACUGGGCCUCUCUUGGGAGUUGAAUCCACCGACGAGUCAGAAAGGGCAGAGGUGUCAUGAACAUCUGAAUCAUCAGCUGAGUGAUCUGAAAUAUCCACUUUGGACUGCUUCACAUCUGCAGAUUCCAAAUGGAUACUUUUGACGGGGUCAAGCCAGAGAAAGAGGCUAACACAAUAUCCUGUACACAUAUCCAAGAUGCAUGUUUUCAAAUGUGCUUUCAAGUCUGUACUUUGUCUUAUUUUCAUUUCUACUUCUCAUACAUUUUCCUAACCUAAGUGGCUUCAAGUGAUUCUUCUUUUUUUUCACACUGGUGACCUCUCGGAUGAAGUACUCCUUCUUGAACAGUUCCCCUUGGAGUAAGACUUUGUAAUCUUUCCGGAUUUUUAAUUAGUCUCGUCUCGUAUAGCACCUUUUUCUCUCCCUCUCUCAGUCCAGAAGCUGUGUGAGCUGUCUCACCUGGUGAACAGCAGUCGGCGCAGCAACUCUGGUUAUUCACACCAACACUGGGGUUUACACCACUGAGUGUUCAUUUCUGAGUCAAUUGAAGUCCUGAAUCAACACUAGAAAUGUUACACUGAAAAAUCAACCCUGGCCAGUUUGUUGGGCACUUUGUAAUUGUAUAGCAACAACCUAUGGUGUAUAAUAUGUGUCUGCCUUAGGCUUUUCAUCACUUCACCUAAAGCAAUCAAAGAUGACUUUUCGUGGCUUAUAAGUAUGCUGCAACACACCAUAACAAAGAUGAUGAUGCAGCAAUAUGCUCAUUGACAAAAACGUUUGAAAUGCAUCACACUGAUGGCCAUUAGAAUGCUAUGUGGUCCUUGAGGAAAAAGCGACCGGCAAUGAUUAUACUCAUAAUGCAUUAGGAGUAUUGGCUAUAUGGAAUUAUGUGUUUUUAGGAGUUCUUAUGUGUGUCUAUAACUAUGCUUAUACUGCAUUAUCACUCUGUCCUAGUGCAUUAUGUGUCCAUGUAUAAUGCUGUGUAUGGACCUCAUAGAAAGUGUUCCUGAAUUAAUCUCUCUUUCUCAAAAAGCUGAAUCAAGAUCAAAGUAACUCAAACUAACAAACGGACAGAAAUCAAGUUAGGACUCAGAUUCAGAAAUCUGACUCACAUUCAGAAAUCAAGUUAGGACUCAGCUCUAAGCCUUCAACCAUUGCCAUGAACUUAUUUUUUUGUCGAUAGAAAUCAGUGUCCCCCCUCAGUCUGUCUUAUCUGUGUACAGUGGCCAGUCAAGGGAGACUGAUGCCAUUCAGAGUCUAAUUAAUUCAACAUCUCAAUUAAGGCCUCCACUCCCUCCCUGCCCCACUACCUUCUCAUUCGGCCCCACUGAGCAGGCCCUGACACUCCUACAAACAGCCUCGCGGCCUGCCAAAACAUUUCAAUCACUGUCUGCCUUAAUUACGCCAAAGAGGAAUUCAGAAUGUUAAUGAACUGCCCUGGUGCCUUUCAGAGGCUAUGGUUUACAUGCUAAUUUAUGCAAAGUGGCGGGGCCUCUGCAUGGUUUGACCAUCGUCUCCCAUAACACUGCCUGAGCCGGCCCAACCCACCCAGCCAAAGCAUUGCCCUGGGGGGCAUGGCUGCACUGCCCAGCUGGUACUUCAAACUCUAGUUGGCACAGUUAACACUGAGCUCUUUUUCAAAGAACUGAAUGGCUUUCACACUGAUAAAAACAACAAUAUUGUAUUAGGGGGGGACUGAGACUAGGUACACAAAUAGUUCACUACCAAAUACCAUGUCAGCAUAAAAAACGAUGGAAUUUUAUCGGUUUUCAUUCAUCUUCAUCUCUUUAAAAUUAAGGAAGCUGGAAAGUAGUAAAAGUAAUUUAUCUUAUCCACUCAGAUGGGCAUAACAGUGCCACCUUUUAUCCGGAUAAAACAAACAGAAAAAUCCAUCUGGGAUCCAAUACGAUGGAUUAAAAGAAGCAGUGAGAGAGUUUCACAGGUUUCUGCCCCACAGAUGUUGUCACUUAAGAAUGCCAAGCAACUCCCUAAAAUGGCCGAAUCGCUGCCAUUUUGUUUUCAUCCUUUCCCCUUCCUUCCUUCCUUUGCAUUUCUUGCAGGCUAUCCACACUGCUCUGUGCAGGCUAGGGGGAGGCAACCGGGGGAAGCCAUGUUUAAAUAAGCUACCAAUUAAACAGCAAGCUUCCGUGGGGUUGUAGGGCUGGAAAGAGCCAAGUUACUCGAAAAAAUGGGCACUAAUUCCUGGCGCGGCUCUCCUUUAUUACAUGCCAACCUCUCUGGAUGCCAGUGAGUUACGCUUUAGGCUUGCCGAAAUUAGCACACUUUCCUUAGCGCCUGCAUCGUUUCGUCUUUAUUUCGUUAAUCUUUUGGCAAAAGCUAUCUUAUGCGAUUCCGUUGCGAUCACAUGACACACCUUCUGUCCAUAUAACUGUAGAAGUGGCACAGACACACCUGUCGAUGCCAUAAUACCAACGGAUGAUUCCUCUGGAUGUUGUGAACUGACGCAGUUUAGUAGCACAGUUCACACGAAGGAAAGCAGUCGAGCUUUCACAGCUUCGUUCUGUAGUGGCGAAUUUGAACCAGGCCCAGGAUUAAACAGCAGAGCCAGAACCAGAGAGGAAAUUGCUCCUUUGAGUUCCCUAGUAAGAACUGCUAAACCUCAUCUCUGGGUCAACGCCAGACUAAGCACCUGUCCUUGAGGCUGAGGUAGUAGAUUGAAUAGUUGUGGGGUAUAUGUCCUCCCUCUGAGAUAACUAUACAAUCUACUGUCUUUCCUAAGGAGACAGACUGAUCGUCAAUAACCCUGAAGAGUGACCGUUCUCCCCUGACCGUAGCACCCAUCUUCCCAGCCUGGACACCUGCCUGCAGCCGGUCUCUGCUCUGUGGGGAAGUUACCCCAUUAUAGCAUAUCACCUCCAUUUACACCCAUUCACAGACUGUUGCAGGACAAAAUGAGAACGGGUAACAUUUCCUUUGUUAGACCACCCGAUGCUUUAUUUUGGUUAUUGGGGCCUGUUGUGUUUGAGUGAAAGUGUACUUUAGGGUGAGAGCGUUUGUGUUGUCGCCUCUCGCUGUAUCUAUUUGAGUGUGUCUGAAUGACAUUCCCCCUUCAUCCGUCAGUCUUUCAGGUGAAUGUGUCCUGGCGAGGUGAGGUAGUAGGUUGUAUAGUUUGUGGGAGGGAUUUAAUCCUAUUCAGGUGAUAACUAUACAGUCUAUUGCCUUCCUUGAGAGGCACAAUGACAGUCUGCAGCAAUGAGGAAGUCCACUGCUCUCUGAAUUCCUCAAUGCGUUUGAUGCAAUCUCACUAUGAUAAAGCAACAGCUGGAGCACAAAUGGGUUUAUAGCCUCUCCAGCGCCACUUGGUGGCCAAGGAGCAGCAGGACUCCAGAGACCUUGUAGGUUCAGGAUUCAGAGCUUCUCAAGAAUGAAAGGAUAUGAAAAGCACUCAACAGAGAAUGCAUCAGUGUUACAACAUCUAAACAAUAAAUGGUUGGUUCUCCAGAACCAAAUCAAGCCCUAAAUAAAUGUGUAUAGGCUUGUGAUAUGUUUUAUGGUAACAUUAUUCAAUGUUGUAUUAAUUAAUAAAGGUUAAAUAUAGCUAUUAAACUUG